This 226-nucleotide ribosomal RNA is filed under the name uncultured bacterium. RNAcentral describes it as "partial 16S ribosomal RNA". It matches the Rfam family "Bacterial small subunit ribosomal RNA", at positions 538 to 763 of the family's 1533-position model. The record is from RNAcentral.
ACGUUGUUCGGAAUUACUGGGCGUAAAGCGUGUGUAGGCGGCCUCAUAAGUCGGGUGUGAAAGCCCCGGGCUCAACCCGGGAAGUGCACUCGAUACUGCGAGGCUUGAGUACUGGAGAGGUUGGUGGAAUUCUCGGUGUAGAGGUGAAAUUCGUAGAUAUCGGGAAGAACACCGGUGGCGAAGGCGGCCAACUGGACAGAUACUGACGCUGAGACACGAAAGCGUG